RNAcentral lists this ribosomal RNA (443 nucleotides) under uncultured bacterium. Its description in RNAcentral is "partial 16S ribosomal RNA". It matches the Rfam family "Bacterial small subunit ribosomal RNA", at positions 338 to 795 of the family's 1533-position model. The record is from RNAcentral.
CCUACGGGUGGCAGCAGUGGGGAAUAUUGGGCAAUGGGCGCAAGCCUGACCCAGCAACGCCGCGUGAAGGAAGAAGGCUUUCGGGUUGUAAACUUCUUUUAUCAGGGACGAAGCAAGUGACGUUACCUGCUGAAUAAGCCCGGGCAAACUACGUUCCAGCAGCCGCGGUAAUACGUAGGUGGCAAGCGUUAUCCGGAUUUACUGGGUGUAAAGGGCGUGUAGGCGGGUUGGCAAGUCAGAUGUGAAACCUAUGGGCUCAACCCAAGGCCUGCAUUUGAAACUGUACUUCUUGAGUGCUGGAGAGGCAAUCGGAAUUCCGAGUGUAGCGGUGAAAUGCGUAGAUAUACGGAGGAACACCAGUGGCGAAGGCGGAUUGCUGGACAGUAACUGACGCUGAGGCGCGAAAGCGUGGGGAGCAAACAGGAUUAGAUACCCGGGUAGUC